Molecule: non-coding RNA, 405 nt
Organism: Paramormyrops kingsleyae
Lineage: Eukaryota; Metazoa; Chordata; Actinopteri; Osteoglossiformes; Mormyridae
Source: RefSeq, a predicted model, not a curated record
CGCCGGUAUCCAGCCGUCUUUCGAUCUCCCAAGUCGACUGAAGCAACUUCCGGUCGCCGCACUUACAAGCGGCUUUUACCUUGGCUGUGGAAAAUAAAGGCAUAAAACUUAGAGGAAGACAUCCAUAUCCCCAGACCUUCUGAAAAUUAGAGAGCCAAGGUCUUCCGGAUGUAAGCAAUGUCAUCAAAGGACUGUAGCUCAGGCAUGCCCGAGCCCAGCAUCAUGGAGAAGAGGUUGAUGAAGAGGUUUGCAUGCUGUCGGAUGGCAAGCCACUGGUGAAGAGUGUGGCUGUUGAACUGCAGCGCCCCCUUCAGGCCACCCUUGCAUUGGAUCUGCAUAAUGGUGUGGGAAUUCCUCACCACUUCAAUGAGUCCCACGCAGUCACCGAUUGACAAGCAACCAUAG